GACGAACGCUGGCGGCAUGCCUAAUACAUGCAAGUCGAGCGAACAGAUGAAGUGCUUGCACUUCUGACGUUAGCGGCGAACGGGUGAGUAACACGUAAGGAAUCUACCUAUAAGCGGGGGAUAACAUUCGGAAACGGGUGCUAAUACCGCAUAAUAUCUUCUUCCGCAUGGAAGAAGAUUGAAAGACGGCUCUGCUGUCACUUAUAGAUGACCUUGCGGCGCAUUAGUUAGUUGGUGGGGUAAUGGCCUACCAAGACGAUGAUGCAUAGCCGACCUGAGAGGGUGAUCGGCCACAUUGGGACUGAGACACGGCCCAAACUCCUACGGGAGGCAGCAGUAGGGAAUCUUCCGCAAUGGGCGAAAGCCUGACGGAGCAAUGCCGCGUGAGUGAAGAAGGCCUCGGUCGUAAC
RNAcentral lists this ribosomal RNA (410 nucleotides) under uncultured bacterium. RNAcentral describes it as "bacterial SSU rRNA". It matches the Rfam family "Bacterial small subunit ribosomal RNA", at positions 28 to 429 of the family's 1533-position model. The record is from RNAcentral.